This 433-nucleotide ribosomal RNA is filed under the name uncultured bacterium. RNAcentral describes it as "partial 16S ribosomal RNA". It matches the Rfam family "Bacterial small subunit ribosomal RNA", at positions 29 to 507 of the family's 1533-position model. The record is from RNAcentral.
AACGAACGCUGGCGGCAUGCCUAACACAUGCAAGUCGAACGAGACCUUCGGGUCUAGUGGCGCACGGGUGCGUAACGCGUGGGAACCUGCCCUUAGGUUCGGAAUAACUCCCCGAAAGGGGUGCUAAUACCGGAUAAUGUCUUCGGACCAAAGAUUUAUCGCCUUUGGAUGGGCCCGCGUUGGAUUAGCUAGUUGGUAGGGUAAAAGCCUACCAAGGCGACGAUCCAUAGCUGGUCUGAGAGGAUGAUCAGCCACACUGGGACUGAGACACGGCCCAGACUCCUACGCAAGGGAGCAGUGGGGAAUAUUGGACAAUGGGCGAAAGCCUGAUCCAGCAAUGCGGCGUGAGUGAUGAAGGCCUUAGGGUUGUAAAGCUCUUUUACCCGGGAUGAUAAUGACAGUACCGGGAGAAUAAGCUCCGGCUAACUCCGUG